CCGAACCGCUGACACGAGCUGUUGCUGGUCUCCAAACGGGGGCAUGUGCACGCUCUGUUUGUGCAUCCACUCACACCUGUGCACCUUCUGUAGUUCUGUGGCCUGGGGGACUUGUCCUCCUGCCGUGGUUCUGCGUCUUUACACUCACGCUGUGACAAAGUCUAAUGGAAUGCAUGCCGCGUUUAACGCAAUACAAUA
This 198-nucleotide unclassified non-coding RNA is filed under the name uncultured Thelephoraceae. RNAcentral describes it as "sequence contains ITS1". The record is from RNAcentral. Lineage: Eukaryota; Fungi; Basidiomycota; Agaricomycetes; Thelephorales; Thelephoraceae.